UACGUAGGGUGCAAGCGUUAAUCGGAAUUACUGGGCGUAAAGCGUGCGCAGGCGGCUUUGCAAGACAGAUGUGAAAUCCCCGGGCUUAACCUGGGAACUGCAUUUGUGACUGCAUGGCUGGAGUGCGGCAGAGGGGGAUGGAAUUCCACGUGUAGCAGUGAAAUGCGUAGAUAUGUGGAGGAACACCGAUGGCGAAGGCAGCCCCCUGGGAUGUGACUGACGCUCAUGUACGAAAGCGUGGGGAGCAAACAGG
RNAcentral lists this ribosomal RNA (253 nucleotides) under uncultured bacterium. RNAcentral's name for it is "partial 16S ribosomal RNA". It matches the Rfam family "Bacterial small subunit ribosomal RNA", at positions 524 to 776 of the family's 1533-position model. The record is from RNAcentral.